This 1555-nucleotide ribosomal RNA is filed under the name Salmonella enterica. Its description in RNAcentral is "partial 23S ribosomal RNA". It matches the Rfam family "Bacterial large subunit ribosomal RNA", at positions 1262 to 2802 of the family's 2925-position model. The record is from RNAcentral. Lineage: Bacteria; Pseudomonadati; Pseudomonadota; Gammaproteobacteria; Enterobacterales; Enterobacteriaceae.
UGUGAGGGUUGCUGGAGGUAUCAGAAGUGCGAAUGCUGACAUAAGUAACGAUAAAGCGGGUGAAAAGCCCGCUCGCCGGAAGACCAAGGGUUCCUGUCCAACGUUAAUCGGGGCAGGGUGAGUCGACCCCUAAGGCGAGGCCGAAAGGCGUAGUCGAUGGGAAACGGGUUAAUAUUCCCGUACUUGGUGUUACUGCGAAGGGGGGACGGAGAAGGCUAUGUUGGCCGGGCGACGGUUGUCCCGGUUUAAGCGUGUAGGCUGGUUUUCCAGGCAAAUCCGGAAAAUCAAGGCUGAGGCGUGACGACGAGGCACUACGGUGCUGAAGCAACAAAUGCCCUGCUUCCAGGAAAAGCCUCUAAGCAUCAGGUAACAUCAAAUCGUACCCCAAACCGACACAGGUGGUCAGGUAGAGAAUACCAAGGCGCUUGAGAGAACUCGGGUGAAGGAACUAGGCAAAAUGGUGCCGUAACUUCGGGAGAAGGCACGCUGACACGUAGGUGAAGUGAUUUACUCAUGGAGCUGAAGUCAGUCGAAGAUACCAGCUGGCUGCAACUGUUUAUUAAAAACACAGCACUGUGCAAACACGAAAGUGGACGUAUACGGUGUGACGCCUGCCCGGUGCCGGAAGGUUAAUUGAUGGGGUCAGCGCAAGCGAAGCUCCUGAUCGAAGCCCCGGUAAACGGCGGCCGUAACUAUAACGGUCCUAAGGUAGCGAAAUUCCUUGUCGGGUAAGUUCCGACCUGCACGAAUGGCGUAAUGAUGGCCAGGCUGUCUCCACCCGAGACUCAGUGAAAUUGAACUCGCUGUGAAGAUGCAGUGUACCCGCGGCAAGACGGAAAGACCCCGUGAACCUUUACUAUAGCUUGACACUGAACAUUGAGCCUUGAUGUGUAGGAUAGGUGGGAGGCUUUGAAGUGUGGACGCCAGUCUGCAUGGAGCCGACCUUGAAAUACCACCCUUUAAUGUUUGAUGUUCUAACGUGGACCCGUAAUCCGGGUUGCGGACAGUGUCUGGUGGGUAGUUUGACUGGGGCGGUCUCCUCCUAAAGAGUAACGGAGGAGCACGAAGGUUGGCUAAUCCUGGUCGGACAUCAGGAGGUUAGUGCAAUGGCAUAAGCCAGCUUGACUGCGAGCGUGACGGCGCGAGCAGGUGCGAAAGCAGGUCAUAGUGAUCCGGUGGUUCUGAAUGGAAGGGCCAUCGCUCAACGGAUAAAAGGUACUCCGGGGAUAACAGGCUGAUACCGCCCAAGAGUUCAUAUCGACGGCGGUGUUUGGCACCUCGAUGUCGGCUCAUCACAUCCUGGGGCUGAAGUAGGUCCCAAGGGUAUGGCUGUUCGCCAUUUAAAGUGGUACGCGAGCUGGGUUUAGAACGUCGUGAGACAGUUCGGUCCCUAUCUGCCGUGGGCGCUGGAGAACUGAGGGGGGCUGCUCCUAGUACGAGAGGACCGGAGUGGACGCAUCACUGGUGUUCGGGUUGUCAUGCCAAUGGCACUGCCCGGUAGCUAAAUGCGGAAGAGAUAAGUGCUGAAAGCAUCUAAGCACGAAACUUGCCCCGA